This 487-nucleotide ribosomal RNA is filed under the name uncultured bacterium. RNAcentral's name for it is "partial 16S ribosomal RNA". It matches the Rfam family "Bacterial small subunit ribosomal RNA", at positions 28 to 507 of the family's 1533-position model. The record is from RNAcentral.
GAUGAACGCUAGCGAUAGGCUUAACACAUGCAAGUCGAGGGGCAGCACAAGGUAGCUUGCUAUCUGGGUGGCGACCGGCGCACGGGUGCGUAACGCGUAUGCAACUUGCCCUAUACAGGAGGAUAACCCGUCGAAAGACGGACUAAUACUGCGUAUGCUCACAACUUGGCAUCAAGUGGUGAGGAAAGAAAUUCGGUAUAGGAUAGGCAUGCGUCCCAUUAGCUUGUUGGUGAGGUGACGGCUCACCAAGGCAACGAUGGGUAGGGGAACUUAGAGGUUUAUCCCCCCCAAUGGUACUGAGACACGGACCAGACUCCUACGGGAGGCAGCAGUGAGGAAUAUUGGUCAAUGGGCGCGAGCCUGAACCAGCCAAGUCGCGUGAAGGAUGCCUGUCUUAUGGAUUGUAAACUUCUUUUAUACGGGAAUAACAAGAGUCACGUGUGACUCCCUGCAUGUACCGUAUGAAUAAGCAUCGGCUAACUCCGUG